Molecule: long non-coding RNA, 402 nt
Organism: Oncorhynchus kisutch (coho salmon)
Lineage: Eukaryota; Metazoa; Chordata; Actinopteri; Salmoniformes; Salmonidae
Exons: 3
Source: RefSeq, a predicted model, not a curated record
UUGGGUUAUAAACUACAUCCUGUCCUUUUGUUCUGUGGAGAAACACUGAGGCCAGAAUAACAUCAACUGCUAACAUUUGGUGCCGUGACCCAAAAUGAAUUGGUCUAAACAACAAGGAAAACUCAACUGUGUGUUGAUCCACUUUGGGGAGUCAACUCUUAAUCUCCUGAUUGAUGGCAUAAGUGCUGGGGACCUAGGAGGUGCCCGUUUUUAUGGGUGGGGUGUGAUCGCCCCUCUUUGCUCCGUCCAAUGGGUUUUGCUACGCUUACUUCCUGCAGAAGAUUAGUGGGCAGAGCUGGGAGCAUACCUUUGUAGUUGACACCUAAUUUACUGACCGUCAUGUAUCAUUGUUGUGAGUGUUUUACCUUAUUUAUGGAAUAAAUUCAUUUUGUUAGUCCUUUA